Molecule: transfer-messenger RNA, 365 nt
Filed under: Sulfurirhabdus autotrophica
Lineage: Bacteria; Pseudomonadati; Pseudomonadota; Betaproteobacteria; Nitrosomonadales; Sulfuricellaceae
Description: Standard tmRNA
Rfam family: transfer-messenger RNA
About the family: Bacterial tmRNA, also known as 10Sa RNA or SsrA, is named for its dual tRNA and mRNA-like properties. Its role is to liberate the mRNA from a stalled ribosome.
Source: Rfam by way of RNAcentral
GGGGGCGACCAGGUUUCGACGUGGGUUGCAAAGCAACGUAGGGCAUACCGAGGACCAGCUACCUCGUAAAUACAACUGGAAAAAAAAUAGUCGCAAACGACGAAAACUACUCCUUAGCCGCUUAAUACCGGCUGAGCUCUGCACCGGAACUCUCAUGGGCCGGGUCAGGCAACUGACUGCAGAGUCAUCUACAUGAGAUCGCGCUGAUUCGGGUUACUUGGAUCAGGGCUAAAUUUAGGUAACUCGCUUGAAUCCAGCCUGUUCGAUUGGCGUGAUUCGGGUUAAAACCAAAUAAUCGGACUAAGUAUGUAGAACUGCCUGUAGAGGGCUUGCGGACGGGGGUUCGAUUCCCCCCGCCUCCACCA